Molecule: ribosomal RNA, 478 nt
Filed under: uncultured bacterium
Lineage: Bacteria
Description: partial 16S ribosomal RNA
Rfam family: Bacterial small subunit ribosomal RNA
Source: RNAcentral
GAUGAACGCUGGCGGCGUGCUUAACACAUGCGAGUCGAACGGGAAAUAUUUCAUUGAGACUUCGGUGGAUUUGAUUUAUUUCUAGUGGCGGACGGGUGAGUAACGCGUGGGUAACCUGCCUUAUACAGGGGGAUAACAGUCAGAAAUGGCUGCUAAUACCGCAUAAGCGCACAGAGCUGCAUGGCUCAGUGUGAAAAACUCCGGUGGUAUAAGAUGGACCCGCGUUGGAUUAGCUAGUUGGUGGGGUAACGGCCCACCAAGGCGACGAUCCAUAGCCGGCCUGAGAGGGUGAACGGCCACAUUGGGACUGAGACACGGCCCAGACUCCUACGGGAGGCAGCAGUGGGGAAUAUUGCACAAUGGGGGAAACCCUGAUGCAGCGACGCCGCGUGAAGGAAGAAGUAUCUCGGUAUGUAAACUUCUAUCAGCAGGGAAGAUAGUGACGGUACCUGACUAAGAAGCCCCGGCUAACUACGUG